This 465-nucleotide ribosomal RNA is filed under the name Vreelandella stevensii. Its description in RNAcentral is "partial 16S ribosomal RNA". It matches the Rfam family "Bacterial small subunit ribosomal RNA", at positions 338 to 795 of the family's 1533-position model. The record is from RNAcentral. Lineage: Bacteria; Pseudomonadati; Pseudomonadota; Gammaproteobacteria; Oceanospirillales; Halomonadaceae.
CCUACGGGUGGCUGCAGUGGGGAAUAUUGGACAAUGGGGGCAACCCUGAUCCAGCCAUGCCGCGUGUGUGAAGAAGGCCCUCGGGUUGUAAAGCACUUUCAGUGAGGAAGAACGCCUGGUGGUUAAUACCCAUCAGGAAAGACAUCACUCACAGAAGAAGCACCGGCUAACUCCGUGCCAGCAGCCGCGGUAAUACGGAGGGUGCGAGCGUUAAUCGGAAUUACUGGGCGUAAAGCGCGCGUAGGUGGCUUGAUAAGCCGGUUGUGAAAGCCCCGGGCUCAACCUGGGAACGGCAUCCGGAACUGUCAAGCUAGAGUGCAGGAGAGGAAGGUAGAAUUCCCGGUGUAGCGGUGAAAUGCGUAGAGAUCGGGAGGAAUACCAGUGGCGAAGGCGGCCUUCUGGACUGACACUGACACUGAGGUGCGAAAGCGUGGGUAGCAAACAGGAUUAGAUAGCCUGGUAGUC